UAGUCCACGCCGUAAACGAUGGUUACUAGCUGUUCGGACUUCGGUCUGAGUGGCUAAGCGAAAGUGAUAAGUAACCCACCUGGGGAGUACGUUCGCAAGAAUGAAACUCAAAGGAAUUGACGGGGGCCCGCACAAGCGGUGGAGCAUGUGGUUUAAUUCGAUGAUACGCGAGGGACCUUACCAGGGCUUAAAUGUAGUCUGACAGCUUUAGAGAUAGAUCUUUCUUCGGACUACUUACAAGGUGCUGCAUGGUUGUCGUCAGCUCGUGCCGUGAGGCGUCAGGUUAAGUCCUAUAACGAGCGCAACCCCUACCGUUAGUUGCCAGCAUGUUAUGAUGGGGACUCUAGCGGGACUGCCGGUGCAAACCGAGAGGAAGGUGGGGAUGACGUCAAAUCAUCACGGCCCUUACGUCCUGGGCUACACACGUGCUACAAUGGUCAGUACAGAGGGCGGCCGCUACGCGAGUAGGAGCGAAUCCUUAAAACUGAUCUCAGUUCGGAUCGGAGUCUGC
RNAcentral lists this ribosomal RNA (511 nucleotides) under uncultured bacterium. RNAcentral describes it as "bacterial SSU rRNA". It matches the Rfam family "Bacterial small subunit ribosomal RNA", at positions 791 to 1308 of the family's 1533-position model. The record is from RNAcentral.